CAUUGAAUGGCUGAAACGAAAGCACUGGUCUCUUAAACCAUUUUAUAGUAUACAUCUACUUUCAAUG
This 67-nucleotide transfer RNA is filed under the name Cycetogamasus diviortus. RNAcentral's name for it is "tRNA-Lys". It matches the Rfam family "tRNA". Rfam says of the family: Transfer RNA (tRNA) molecules are approximately 80 nucleotides in length. Lineage: Eukaryota; Metazoa; Arthropoda; Arachnida; Mesostigmata; Parasitidae. The record is from RNAcentral.